AGGCCAGCCAGCGACUCACGGUCUCGUCCGGUGCAGAUCAUUUAUUUCUAAUCUAAGGAUAUGGAGUAUAAAGUGUACUUAAAUGAAAAGGCACCUGUUCCCGCAGCUACAAAAAGGCGAUGGACACAGAAUAUAAUAGGAGCAAAAAAGAGAAGAUCAUACAAGACAUGGCUUAUUCCCGAUAUAGUUGAAGUAAUUCAGGUUUAAUGUUGGCCUAAAAAACAUUUUCAGUAAUAAAUUCAUGGCCAUUUGUUGUAGUCAAGAAACCAUGUCUAACAUGCUCCUGUAUGUUUAUAAUUUCAUACUUAUAGGAAAACAUUUCCAAUGAUGACAGUGGUGACAAUAUCAGCAAAUCUGACAGGAACUGCCCUGAUGCUCAUGGAAACUUUUCUACUGAUGACGAGAAUGAGGUCGUCAGCGAUGCUGAUGGAAACUUUUCAGAUGCUGAUGUGAGAAUGAAUUUCUGAUAUUUUUUUUAAUCCAAUGCUUUUUGCAUACAUUUGUAAAUAUCGGUGUUCAUAUGGAUUUUGUUUUAAUGUGCAAUAAAUGCACAAUUUCUGACAGGAAGGCUUUUCUGCUGAUGACGAGGGUGAUGUUUUUAGCACAGCUGAUGAGAACUUUCCACAGACUCAUAUUGUCAGAAACCACAGUGCAGUUUGUGAGGGAAGCACAGAAGAAAGAGAGGAG
Molecule: long non-coding RNA, 687 nt
Organism: Cyprinus carpio carpio
Lineage: Eukaryota; Metazoa; Chordata; Actinopteri; Cypriniformes; Cyprinidae
Source: Ensembl